This 1064-nucleotide long non-coding RNA is filed under the name Salvia miltiorrhiza (redroot sage). RNAcentral's name for it is "long non-coding RNA (SMIL_LNC012335)". The record is from RNAcentral. Lineage: Eukaryota; Viridiplantae; Streptophyta; Magnoliopsida; Lamiales; Lamiaceae.
CAUGCCACCUUGCGAAACAAGCCUUUGAUGAAGCUAUAGCAGAACUUGACAGCCUCAACGAAGAAUCCUACAAAGACAGCACUCUCAUCAUGCAGCUUCUAAGGGACAAUCUUACUUUGUGGACCUCAGAUCUUCCAGAAGAAGGAGGUAUUAUCUUUUGUUCCAGCUCUACGUAUAUAAAAUCACCAUAAUUCAUACAUGGAGUCAUAAACUACAGCUUAACGUGGAUAAGUAAAACAACCACCUAUGUGAAGCCUAAAGACAUCAUUUCGUAACAUAUCAAUAAAAAAUUUAUACAAUAGAAAGAGACUUUAUCAUACAAUGCACAAUAUAUAUAUUCAAUAUCUAUUAAAUAAUUCUAUGUAAAACACACCGCAACAUGAUAUGAGCGUGAAAAUCUGGUAAACGAGACUCAUAGAAGGUAAACAAUAUUAGAUUGGACAACAUUUCACCAAAUGUGAACUUAUUCAAUUCACAAAUUUUAUUUUUUAUUUAAUUAUUAAUUUUCUUUUAAAAAAAUUGGACACACCUGAAUCGAAAAUGGCGCAGAACAAGAAAAUAGUAUAAAAUGCAAGGCGCACAGUAAAAAAUGGGAAGAUAAUAAUACGCCUCACUCCAAUGUUAACUUGUAUACCUUGGUAAACCAAAUCAGUGACUAGUAAGGGAUGAAUUCCAUGCCUAUGAUUUUAAGCACUAUGGUCAUGUUCUCACAGUUAGUAUGUUUAGACACUCUCCAAAAGAAAUUUCCUUUGCCCAUUUUGAUCAUUCAUUUGAAGGUUUACUGUAUAAUUUGUGUUACCCCACUGAUUGUUUGGCAUUGACUUGACAGGGCAUGCCACCUUGCGAAACAAGCCUUUGAUGAAGCUAUAGCAGAACUUGACAGCCUCAACGAAGAAUCCUACAAAGACAGCACUCUCAUCAUGCAGCUUCUAAGGGACAAUCUUACUUUGUGGACCUCAGAUCUUCCAGAAGAAGGAGGUAUUAUCUUUUGUUCCAGCUCUACGUAUAUAAAAUCACCAUAAUUCAUACAUGGAUUUCAUAACCUACAUGCAUUGCAUUUUUUU